UGCACACCGGAAAGAAAGAACUACCGCAGGUGCUCCUGUGCUUUUUCUUUGGUUUUUUCCCUAGGGAAGGUGCUUCGCCAUCGGUUGUGGCCUCGAAUUAGUCGAUUUGCAUCCAUCAACGAUUAAAAAGAAGAUCGACGAAGGCUGAGAGUUUUUCAGCCAACUCUUCCGGGCUCUUUGCCAUUGCCACGGCUGUGCCAAUCUGAUUCCUCUGCAAUCCAAAGGUCGCCGUUUGACGCUGUUGAGCGGUCUUUCUGGUGCCUCGUUUGCUUUUGGUGGCGGUAGGGUUUGCUUUGAGAACAGCAACCGUGGCGACGGCUGUCAGCUUGCGGGCGGUUGUCAAGGGGCGGCGGCCCUCUGCAGCUUGGAAAACUGCGUACAGCCUCUGUAAUUGGCCGGAAGGGGGCCAUUACAAUUGGCACACUUAGGAGGCUCCUUGCUCUCCUUUGUGCACAAUUUUGUGUCAUGUGCUUCUUUGCACUUGACACAUCGGUGUUCUACCAUGCAGUUCCUCUGUGCGUGGAAGAAUCGCUAACACCGAUGGCACUGAGCUGUUUUUCUUGAUUUUCUCGGUUUUUCAACCUUGACCAUCAGGCUGCAUAUUUUCAGAAUUAUGAAAAAGAAGGUCAAGAAUAAAAAAAGUACUUGAUCGGCAGUUGCAGUUGCAGUUGUAUUGGGUGGCCUAUAAAUGCUGCCUAAAAUAAUAUUUGAGUUGGAAUACCCACUUUUAGAAACAACGCUUUAAUACCAGGAAUUUUACUCUUUAAUCAAGUAACAACAGCUUAUCAUCAUUGAAAUGAAUUCAAAUGAAUUAGUUUGAUGAAUCAAUCCAUUGCAUUCCAACAAAAUUUUUGGUGCGAAAUAAACAAGCCCAUUUACAGGGAUGAGCGUGUCAACAAUACAAGGUACACAAUUCAAUUGUUUACUUGUCAACAACUGCGUAGACGUUAACAUUUGAAGUGAUGUCAACAAUAUCAAAUAUGUUAACAAUAUACAAAUAAUAGAUUAUGACAUUUAUGUCAAAAUUUGUUAUGCUAUUUGACUGUGAAAUGUAGGUAAUGGUUAAUAAUAAUACUUACGGGAAUUUUACAAUUGUCACAUAAACCCCGGAUAAGUAUUUUUAAAUCUAGCCACAUAUUUACUGCAUCUGCUUGUGACAUGUGUUUAUUAAGUUGCAUAUUGGGUUGUAGCUGCACUUUGUUUCGUAUAGUCCACACUUUCCAAGAGACUUUGAAAUGCAUUUCUAUACGAACACUACCUUGCGUCAAUAAGUAAUUUGAUUCUGCGACCACUUUUUAUAUAAAAUAUUCUCAGCAAGAAGAUUGCCCGUUAGAUAUACAUUAUACGCAGGGGCUCAAUUUUUGUUUUUAUCAAAAAAUGUUAUUAAUUAAAAAUUAAAAAAAUGUAUAAAUGCCAGCGAAUAGAAAUCAUAAUUUAUCAAAUUUCUGUCUCUAUAAUUUAUCUCUUGUCCACUGUACCUGCGUUGGUUUUGCCGGGGGGUUCGACCGACGACGACAUAAAGGGUCUAUCCUAAUAACUGCUUACCACAACUGACAAUAAAUACUAAAAUCGCGAAAUAUCCUGAUAUUCACUUUAUUGAUGGCAUUCUACAAGAUUUAUUCAUUAAUGAGUAGAGGUAAUUUUUAGGGUAACAAAUAAAAUUGAAAAUAAUUAUCCAAAAUGUGUUCGCCUAUUCGUUGACGAACGAAAACACUAUA
This is a long non-coding RNA of Tribolium castaneum (red flour beetle), 1718 nucleotides long. RefSeq lists it as uncharacterized. The record is from RefSeq and is a predicted model, not a curated record. The transcript is spliced from 3 exons. NCBI's taxonomy places the organism in Eukaryota, Metazoa, Arthropoda, Insecta, Coleoptera, Tenebrionidae.